UACGUAGGGUGCGAGCGUUAAUCGGAAUUACUGGGCGUAAAGCGUGCGCAGGCGGUUUUGUAAGCCAGAUGUGAAAUCCCCGGGCUUAACCUGGGAAUGGCGAUGGAGACUGCGAGGCUAGAGUUUGGCAGAGGGGGGUAGAAUUCCACGUGUAGCAGUGAAAUGCGUAGAGAUGUGGAGGAACACCGAUGGCGAAGGCAGCCCCCUGGGUCAAAACUGACGCUCAUGCACGAAAGCGUGGGGAGCAAACAGG
RNAcentral lists this ribosomal RNA (253 nucleotides) under uncultured bacterium. RNAcentral describes it as "partial 16S ribosomal RNA". It matches the Rfam family "Bacterial small subunit ribosomal RNA", at positions 524 to 776 of the family's 1533-position model. The record is from RNAcentral.